RNAcentral lists this ribosomal RNA (467 nucleotides) under uncultured bacterium. Its description in RNAcentral is "partial 16S ribosomal RNA". It matches the Rfam family "Bacterial small subunit ribosomal RNA", at positions 29 to 507 of the family's 1533-position model. The record is from RNAcentral.
ACGCACGCUGGCGGCGUGCUUAACACAUGCAAGUCGCACGGAAAGGCCCUGCUUUUGUGGGGUGCUCGAGUGGCGAACGGGUGAGUAACACGUGAGUAACCUGCCCUUGACUUUGGGAUAACUUCAGGAAACUGGGGCUAAUACCGGAUAGGAGCUCCUGCUGCAUGGUGGGGGUUGGAAAGUUUCGGCGGUUGGGGAUGGACUCGCGGCUUAUCAGCUUGUUGGUGGGGUAGUGGCUUACCAAGGCUUUGACGGGUAGCCGGCCUGAGAGGGUGACCGGCCACAUUGGGACUGAGAUACGGCCCAGACGCCUACGGGAGGCAGCAGUGGGGAAUAUUGCACAAUGGGCGGAAGCCUGAUGCAGCAACGCCGCGUGCGGGAUGACGGCCUUCGGGUUGUAAACCGCUUUCGCCUGUGACGAAGCGUGAGUGACGGUAAUGGGUAAAGAAGCACCGGCUAACUACGUG